This 253-nucleotide ribosomal RNA is filed under the name uncultured bacterium. RNAcentral describes it as "partial 16S ribosomal RNA". It matches the Rfam family "Bacterial small subunit ribosomal RNA", at positions 524 to 776 of the family's 1533-position model. The record is from RNAcentral.
UACGAAGGGGGCUAGCGUUGUUCGGAAUUACUGGGAGUAAAGCGUGCGCAGGCGGCUUCUCAAGUCAGGGGUGAAAGCCCAGAGCUCAACUCUGGAAUUGCCUUUGAGACUGAGUGGCUUGAGUACGAGAGAGGUGAGUGGAAUUCCCAGUGUAGAGGUGAAAUUCGUAGAUAUUGGGAAGAACACCGGUGGCGAAGGCGGCUCACUGGCUCGUAACUGACGCUCAUGCACGACAGCGUGGGGAUCAAACAGG